UACGGGAGGCAGCAGUGGGGAAUAUUGCACAAUGGGCGCAAGCCUGAUGCAGCCAUGCCGCGUGUAUGAAGAAGGCCUUCGGGUUGUAAAGUACUUUCAGUCGUGAGGAAGGUGUUAAGGUUAAUAACCUUAGCAAUUGACGUUAGCGACAGAAGAAGCACCGGCUAACUCCGUGCCAGCAGCCGCGGUAAUACGGAGGGUGCGAGCGUUAAUCGGAAUUACUGGGCGUAAAGGGCACGCAGGCGGUUAAUUAAGUUGGAUGUGAAAUCCCCGGGCUUAACCUGGGAAUGGCAUUCAAGACUGGUUAGCUAGAGUCUUGUAGAGGGGGUAGAAUUCCAUGUGUAGCGGUGAAAUGCGUAGAGAUGUGGAGGAAUACCGGUGGCGAAGGCGGCCCCUGGGACAAAGACUGACACUGAGGUGCGAAAGCGUGGGGAGCAAACAGGGAUUAGAUACC
Molecule: ribosomal RNA, 454 nt
Filed under: uncultured bacterium
Lineage: Bacteria
Description: bacterial SSU rRNA
Rfam family: Bacterial small subunit ribosomal RNA
Source: RNAcentral